This 509-nucleotide ribosomal RNA is filed under the name Papilio xuthus (Asian swallowtail). RNAcentral describes it as "partial LSU rRNA". The stretch from base 386 to 509 matches the Rfam family "Bacterial large subunit ribosomal RNA", at positions 2473 to 2597 of the family's 2925-position model. The record is from RNAcentral. Lineage: Eukaryota; Metazoa; Arthropoda; Insecta; Lepidoptera; Papilionidae.
UUUUUGUUAAUAAUUUAAAGUCUAAUCUGCCCACUGAUAAAGUAUUAAAGGGCUGCAGUAUUUUGACUGUACAAAGGUAGCAUAAUCAUUAGUCUCUUAAUUGGUGACUUGUAUGAAAGAUUGGAUGAAAUAUAUACUGUCUCUAUUUAAUUAAUAAAAUUUAAUUUUUUAGUAAAAAAGCUAAAAUAAUUUUAAAAGACGAGAAGACCCUAUAGAGUUUUAUAAUUUAUUUAAUUAUUAUUAAUAUAUUAAUUAUUUAAAUUAAAAUUAAUUAAAUUAUUUUAUUGGGGUGAUAAAAAAAUUAAAUUAACUUUUUUUAAUAUUUUACAUUGAUUUAUGAAUAUUUGAUCCAUUUAUAGUGAUUAAAAGAAAAAAUUACCUUAGGGAUAACAGCGUAAUUUUUUUUUUUAGUUCAAAUAGGAAAAAAAGUUUGCGACCUCGAUGUUGGAUUAAGAUAAAAUUUAAAUGCAAAAGUUUAAAAUUUUGAUCUGUUCGAUCAUUAAAAUCUU